Molecule: transfer RNA, 76 nt
Filed under: Deltaproteobacteria bacterium
Lineage: Bacteria; Pseudomonadati; Myxococcota; Myxococcia
Description: tRNA-His
Rfam family: tRNA
About the family: Transfer RNA (tRNA) molecules are approximately 80 nucleotides in length. Their secondary structure includes four short double-helical elements and three loops (D, anti-codon, and T loops). Further hydrogen bonds mediate the characteristic L-shaped molecular structure. tRNAs have two regions of fundamental functional importance: the anti-codon, which is responsible for specific mRNA codon recognition, and the 3' end, to which the tRNAs corresponding amino acid is attached (by aminoacyl-tRNA synthetases). tRNAs cope with the degeneracy of the genetic code in two manners: having more than one tRNA (with a specific anti-codon) for a particular amino acid; and 'wobble' base-pairing, i.e. permitting non-standard base-pairing at the 3rd anti-codon position.
Source: RNAcentral
GUGGGCGUAGCUCAGUUGGUAGAGCCCCGGAUUGUGGCUCCGGUUGUCGGGGGUUCAAGUCCCCUCGCUCACCCCA